CAUAUACUCCCUCCGUCCGGAAAUACUUGUCAUCAAAAUGGAGAAAAAAGGAUGUAUUCUAGAACUAAAAUACAUCUAGAUGCAUCUCCUUUUAUUUAUUUUGAUGACAAGUAUUUCUGGACGGAGGGAGUACUAU
Triticum aestivum (bread wheat) is the source of this 136-nucleotide non-coding RNA. NCBI's taxonomy places the organism in Eukaryota, Viridiplantae, Streptophyta, Magnoliopsida, Poales, Poaceae. The record is from Rfam.